This 30-nucleotide non-coding RNA is filed under the name Mus musculus (house mouse). The record is from RNAcentral. Lineage: Eukaryota; Metazoa; Chordata; Mammalia; Rodentia; Muridae.
UGCGAAGGAAAGGUCAAUAGUCAUUUAUGC